This 1806-nucleotide ribosomal RNA is filed under the name human oral metagenome. Its description in RNAcentral is "bacterial LSU rRNA". It matches the Rfam family "Bacterial large subunit ribosomal RNA", at positions 803 to 2642 of the family's 2925-position model. The record is from RNAcentral.
GAUGAGGUGUGGAUAGGGGAGAAAUUCCAAUCGAACCCGGAGAUAGCUGGUUCUCCUCGAAAUAGUUUUAGGACUAGCCUUAAUUUAGUCUGAUGGAGGUAGAGCACUGAAUUUUUGCGGGGGCGUCAAAGCUUACCAAUGAAUAUCAAACUGCGAAUGCCAUACAGAUGAUGAUUAGGAGUCAGACUACACGAGAUAAGUUGGGUAGUCGAAAGGGAAAGAGCCCAGAUCUACGGCUAAGGUCCCAAAGUGAGUGUUAAGUGGAAAAGGAUGUAGGAUCUCAUAGACAACUAGGAUGUUGGCUUAGAAGCAGCCAUACAUUAAAAGAGUGCGUAAUAGCUCACUAGUCGAGAGGUUCUGCGCCGAAAAUGUCCGGGGCUAAAACACUACACCGAAGCCAAGGGAUGACGAAAGUCAUCGGUAGAGGAGCAAUCUUACCGACGCAGAAGCCAUACCGAAAGGAGUGGUGGAGAAGUAAGAAGAGAGAAUGCCGGAAUGAGUAGCGAGAGUGAGGUGAGAAUCCUCACGGCCAAAUACCCAAGGAUUCCAGAGUAAAGCUGAUCUGCUCUGGGUAAGUCGGGACCUAAGGCGAGGGAGAGAUCCGUAGUCGAUGGACAUCAGGUAUAGAAUCCUGAACUGCAUAUAAUCAGAAAUGUGGGGACACAGAAACUAAAGUCGAACCCGGGAGAGCAAAGACCGGGAUAAGCGAGGUAGCAGGUGGUAGGAAAAACCGCCACGAAAUGCGAAUGCGUGAUAUGUAGCGAAGAAAAGUAGCGAAGUCGAAUAGGGAGCUGUCAAGAAAAGCCGCUAUAGAGUUAUAUGUACCCGUACCGCAAACCGACACAGGUGGGUGGGGAGAGAAUCCUAAGGCCGGCGGGAGAAGCAUUGUUAAGGAACUCGGCAAAAUGACCCCGUAACUUCGGGAGAAGGGGUACCGAAAGGUCACAGAAAAAAGGCUCAAGCAACUGUUUAGCAAAAACACAGGUCUAUGCGAAACCGAAAGGUGAAGUAUAUGGGCUGACGCCUGCCCGGUGCUGGAAGGUUAAGAGGAGAGGUCAGGCAACGAAGCUUUGAAUCUAAGCCCCAGUAAACGGCGGCCGUAACUAUAACGGUCCUAAGGUAGCGAAAUUCCUUGUCGGGUAAGUUCCGACCCGCACGAAAGGCGUAAUGAUUUGAGCACUGUCUCAACAAUGCACCCGGUGAAAUUGAAGUACCAGUGAAGAUGCUGGUUACCUGCGCCAGGACGGAAAGACCCCAUGGAGCUUUACUCUAGUUUGAUACUGGGGUUUGAUGAUGCAUGUACAGGAUAGGUGGGAGACUGCGAGGCGAGGACGCCAGUUUUCGCGGAGUCACUGUUGGGAUACCACCCUUGUAUCAUUGAAUUUCUAACCCGUGGCCGUAAGCCGGUCAGGGGACAAUGUCAGAUGGGGAGUUUGACUGGGGCGGUCGCCUCCGAAAGAGUAUCGGAGGCGCUCAAAGGUUCCCUCAGAAUGGACGGAAACCAUUCAAAGAGUGCAAAGGCAAAAGGGAGCUUGACUGCGACACUGACGGGUGGAGCAGGUACGAAAGUAGGACUUAGUGAUCCGGUGGUUUUAAGUGGGAAAGCCAUCGCUCAACGGAUAAAAGCUACCCUGGGGAUAACAGGCUUAUCACUCCCAAGAGUUCACAUCGACGGAGUGGUUUGGCACCUCGAUGUCGGCUCAUCGCAUCCUGGGGCUGAAGUCGGUCCCAAGGGUUGGGCUGUUCGCCCAUUAAAGCGGUACGCGAGCUGGGUUCAGAACGUCGUGAGACAGUUCGGUCCCUAUC